Molecule: ribosomal RNA, 497 nt
Filed under: uncultured bacterium
Lineage: Bacteria
Description: partial 16S ribosomal RNA
Rfam family: Bacterial small subunit ribosomal RNA
Source: RNAcentral
GAUGAACGCUGGCGGCGUGCCUAAUACAUGCAAGUCGAGCGAACAGACGAGGAGCUUGCUCCUCUGACGUUAGCGGCGGGCGGGUGAGUAACACGUGGAUAACCUACCUAUAAGACUGGGAUAACUUCGGGAAACCGGAGCUAAUACCGGAUAAUAUAUUGAACCGCAUGGUUCAAUAGUGAAAGACGGUUUUGCUGUCACUUAUAGAUGGAUCCGCGCCGCAUUAGCUAGUUGGUAAGGUAACGGCUUACCAAGGCAACGAUGCGUAGCCGACCUGAGAGGGUGAUAGGCCACACUGGAACUGAGACACGGUCCAGACUCCUACGGGAGGCAGCAGUAGGGAAUCUUCCGCAAUGGGCGAAAGCCUGACGGAGCAACGCCGCGUGAGUGAUGAAGGUCUUCGGAUCGUAAAACUCUGUUAUUAGGGAAGAACAAAUGUGUAAGUAACUAUGCACGUCUUGACGGUACCUAAUCAGAAAGCCACGGCUAACUACGUG